RNAcentral lists this ribosomal RNA (466 nucleotides) under Escherichia coli. Its description in RNAcentral is "partial 23S ribosomal RNA". It matches the Rfam family "Bacterial large subunit ribosomal RNA", at positions 2465 to 2925 of the family's 2925-position model. RNAcentral also lists the same sequence under 1 other name. The record is from RNAcentral. Lineage: Bacteria; Pseudomonadati; Pseudomonadota; Gammaproteobacteria; Enterobacterales; Enterobacteriaceae.
ACUCCGGGGAUAACAGGCUGAUACCGCCCAAGAGUUCAUAUCGACGGCGGUGUUUGGCACCUCGAUGUCGGCUCAUCACAUCCUGGGGCUGAAGUAGGUCCCAAGGGUAUGGCUGUUCGCCAUUUAAAGUGGUACGCGAGCUGGGUUUAGAACGUCGUGAGACAGUUCGGUCCCUAUCUGCCGUGGGCGCUGGAGAACUGAGGGGGGCUGCUCCUAGUACGAGAGGACCGGAGUGGACGCAUCACUGGUGUUCGGGUUGUCAUGCCAAUGGCACUGCCCGGUAGCUAAAUGCGGAAGAGAUAAGUGCUGAAAGCAUCUAAGCACGAAACUUGCCCCGAGAUGAGUUCUCCCUGAGACUUAGAGUCUCCUGAAGGAACGUUGAAGACGACGACGUUGAUAGGCCGGGUGUGUAAGCGCAGCGAUGCGUUGAGCUAACCGGUACUAAUGAACCGUGAGGCUUAACCUU